Molecule: ribosomal RNA, 498 nt
Filed under: uncultured bacterium
Lineage: Bacteria
Description: bacterial SSU rRNA
Rfam family: Bacterial small subunit ribosomal RNA
Source: RNAcentral
AGUGAACGCUGGCGGCAGGCCUAAUACAUGCAAGUCGAACGGCAGCACGGCAGAGCUUGCUCUGUGGGUGGCGAGUGGCGGACGGGUGAGGAAUACAUGGGAAUCUGCCCAGUCGUGGGGGAUAACGUAGGGAAACUUACGCUAAUACCGCAUGCGCCCUUCGGGGGAAAGCCGGGGACCUUCGGGCCUGGCGCGAUUGGAUGAGCCCAUGUCGGAUUAGCUAGUUGGCGGGGUAAGUGGCCCACCAAGGCGACGAUCCGUAGCUGGUCUGAGAGGAUGAUCAGCCACACUGGAACUGAGACACGGUCCAGACUCCUACGGGAGGCAGCAGUAGGGAAUAUUGGACAAUGGGCGCAAGCCUGAUCCAGCCAUGCCGCGUGAGUGAAGAAGGCCCUCGGGUUGUAAAGCUCUUUUGUCCGGAAAAAAGCGCCGGGUUAAUACCCUGGUGUCCUGACGGUACCGAAGAAUAAGCACCGGCUAACUUCGUGCCAGCAGCCG